UAAGGCACGCGGUGAAUGCCA
RNAcentral lists this non-coding RNA (21 nucleotides) under Echinococcus granulosus. Its record names the gene egr-miR-124a-3p. The record is from miRBase by way of RNAcentral. Lineage: Eukaryota; Metazoa; Platyhelminthes; Cestoda; Cyclophyllidea; Taeniidae. RNAcentral also lists the same sequence under 57 other names.